AGCAUACCGUAAGCUCCUGACAAAUAUGUAAAAGCAUUAUAUUUGUAUUCCUUCAUAGAGCAGAGCUGGAACCAAACAAUGAAUAAAGACCAUCAGUAAACUUCCAGUAGAUGAGGCACACGUGCAACGGCCAGAAACCCUCAUCACGGACAAAUUAGAUGGUAUUGCCAACUAACUGCUUAUACUUUUUUUUUUGAUGUUAUUGUAAGAUGUAGAGGACCUGGCGUGCUGUGUAAGAGACUGCCCCAUCUCAAAUGAGUUUAUAGUGUCCCCAGGUCAGAUAGCACCAGAGCUGGCACUAGACCCCAAGUCAUGGCCAGACGUUUUUGCCUGGUUGUAAAAAGGAUUCCAGAUUGACUGAAGCUUUUUUUUCUGUAUGCGUUAACCGAAAGUGCCAUUAGCAUACAAAUAUUUCUUCUUUCUGUUGCUCUUCUGAUGCAAGGAUUUCCCAUUUCAGGUUUUAAUCCAGCAGGUAGUAAAACAUCCGUGUUUUAACUAGCGGGGAGUGCUGACACGUGAAGGAUGGUCAUCAUCUGGGGCAUCAGGUGUGACCCUUUUGGGACGUGGGCUCCCCUGACCUGAUCUUCCCAAACAGCCGAGGGCCGGGGCCAGGGAGCACUACUUCUUCUUGUGCACAGCCAGCUGGAAGGCAGCACCGAGCAAGGUCCCCGAGCGCUCGGUGCUCACUCAACACUUCAGAGCCGAGGGGAAAACGGGCGUCGCGAGCUGGGCCUCUGAAAGAGUGAACUGGAAGCGCGGAGCUUGGCACUGCAGCGAAGGAUGUGGGAAGCAGAAGGGGUCUGCAGGGAUUCGGUGGUCGGGGACGGCUGGGUCGCAGGACCCAGCCCAGAAAGAACAGAGUGCUUACACUGUGGAUCCCUGCCGAAUAGUUUUCUGCCCCUUCCAGGGUUUAAACUGUAACACAAACCCUGGUGUAAGCCCGACUUCACACCUUCUGCUCCGAGGUUGUGCCUGAAAGUAGGAGCACGCUUGCUGAACCCUGUGGUGUCACCAGAGAAGAAUCUGAUCUGAUGUAACAUUGCAGGGGAAGCUGCCACAACCACCAGUUGGUCUAGUUAGACAACAGAGCUCCAGUAAAACAAACCAGCGUGUAUUGAUCAACUGGAAACAGAAAUAAGAAGUGCAUGGGCCAAGAAGCCAAAUAUAUCCAAGAUCUGUAACAGAAAGACAAAUUGUCUUUGCAGCCUUUGUCUUCUCAUUUUUAUAAGUCUGGCUCUGUCUUGCUGUGCCCUGCUCGGUGCUGAAAAGGGGUUUAUUCACAUGGUUUCUCUGAGGCCUGCUUUAGGGGAGCUCCCUGCUAAAAGAUAUUCUCCAACGGAUGCUGCUUUCCACUCUUUUAGAAAAGAUUCUGUUCCCCAAGAGCCAGAGGUGCUCUACCAGGACAGCGUGUGACAAAUUCUUUAUGAGAGAAUACAUAAUAAAUUGAGGAUUUUCUUUUAUUUUGAUUAUUUAGUAUUCAAUAUUUGCAUUAUGGAAGUGCCUGGAGGUUCCAGCUGAGAUCAGUGUCCUAUUGUUCUAAGCCAUGCAUAAAAACAUGGUCAGAGAUGAGGAGCUUACCAUCUAAAUAGAUGAACUGGAUAAAGAGUGGGAGACAGGAAGCAUCUAUUAUUCUCAUUUCAUAGCUGGAGAGCUUGGACGCAGACAAAUUAAGUGCCUUUCCCAGGACUGUGGAGGAAAGCCGAUGUAGAAGGGCAGAAAGCAUCAAAUGUCCAGUAUCCCAGUGUAAUACCCUGCUCAUAACACAGCACAUUUCCUGUUUAAAUAUAUCUUGCAACAGUGUAAUAAUAACAACAAAUAUAUUUUGAAUCUUUUCCUUAAGACGUACAAAAUGAGAGGAGUACCAGAAAGGUUACAUGGCUACAAGGCAUAACAGUCUGGAGGGAGUGUUGAUGCUCAAAAUGCCAUUACAAGGCAUUGACAUGAUAGCAGUGAAAAUAAUCUCUUUUUUCCAGCUACUUGGCCUUACUGCCUGAAGAAGUAUCUCUUAGAAGAUUCUGCUGUGCAUAAUGCAGAGAGAGAUCAAAAAUUGGUAGGCAAAAGUAAUUAAUUUGCCACAUUCUGUAGCCUAACCAAAAUGAGGGGUUUUUGUUGAUAAACACCCAGUAAAACUAUCCCUUUAUGGGCUGUGAACUUGCAGACCUCCCAUUCCUGUAUACGUUUUGCUGCAAAAGAACUCGGUAGCCCAUCUGCUUCACACUUUUAUGGAUAAUUAUUAGAACCACUGGCAUUAAAAUAAAGAAGUUCUUAUCUCGAUUUUUCAGUUUAGCAGCAUCUUGAAGUAACACGUGGUGAGGACCAGUGAGGGAAGUCUCUCAGUAGUAGUUUUUCUGUUAGAAAGGGUUUGCAUUUAUAUGAAGUGACUUUCCCCUAAGACACUGACAAAUACAUAGAGCAACUUUGCCUGUCCUUGAAAAGAAAAAGAUUUGCAGAAUUGGGUUCCUAUGAUUUGCCUCUUUGGCACCCUAAAAAAAAGUUCAAAGCUGCCGGGAAACAGAGCCAUAAAUACUUUGGAAACCAGGUAAACAUUUUAGCUGCCAGAGUUUGGGUUUAGGCACUUAGCUUUAGAAGAACUUUAAAAAAUUAAAUCUUGGACAAGUAUUUAAUUGUAUCCAGCACGGUCAAGCAAAGAUUUUGGACAGGACAGCUUGAAUAACAGGGAAGAAAUGUUGCUUCCCAUUGUCUUCCGUGGAGAAGGCAAACCCUCAGCGAUGUGCGU
Long non-coding RNA from Aquila chrysaetos chrysaetos, 2737 nucleotides. RefSeq lists it as uncharacterized. The record is from RefSeq and is a predicted model, not a curated record. The transcript has 3 exons. NCBI's taxonomy places the organism in Eukaryota, Metazoa, Chordata, Aves, Accipitriformes, Accipitridae.